UGUCUGUGAACAUAACAUUCAGGAUGUCAUCUUGAAAGCAGAGACCAAGGUCUUCACCAGAGACAGUCUGCCAAUGGCUUGAUUUUGCACUUCCCAGCCUAUAUAACUGUAACAGGAAACAGAGUCAUCCACUGUCACAGAAUCUCCGCUCGGCACAAAGGUGGAACUGAUGCUUUAGUGAGCUUCUGUUACGAAAAACUGAAGUUAAAAUAAGUGAACAAGUAUUUUCAAGGUGACAAACGAGUAGCAGUACUGACGAGCACGGACAUGGCUGACUCAAGGGUCAAGUCAGACCAUCCCAUCUCCUGAAUCCUCCCACCCCAUCCUGCUCGGGGAAGUACUCAAUGUCCACCCUCCCUCUCAUCUCCUGAAUCCUCCCACCCCAUCCUGCUGGGGGAAGUACUCAAUGUCCACCCUCCCUCUCAUCUCCUGAAUCCUCCCACCCCAUCCUGCUCGGGGAAGUACUCAAUGUCCACCCUCCCUCUCAUCUCCUGAAUCCUCCCACCCCAUCCUGCUGGGGGAAGUACUCAAUGUCCACCCUCCCUCUCAUCUCCUGAAUCCUCCCACCCCAUCCUGCUCGGGGAAGUACUCAAUGUCCACCCUCCCUCUCAUCUCCUGAAUCCUCCCACCCCAUCCUGCUGGGGGAAGUACUCAAUGUCCACCCUCCCUCUCAUCUCCUGAAUCCUCCCACCCCAUCCUGCUCGGGGAAGUACUCAAUGUCCACCCUCCCUCUCAUCUCCUGAAUCCUCCCACCCCAUCCUGCUCGGGGAAGUACUCAAUGUCCACCCUCCCUCUCAUCUCCUGAAUCCUCCCACCCCAUCCUGCUGGGGGAAGUACUCAAUGCCCACCCUCCCUCUCAUCUCCUGAAUCCUCCCACCCCAUCCUGCUGGGGGAAGUACUCAAUGUCCACCCUCCCUCUCAUCUCCUGAAUCCUCCCACCCCAUCCUGCUGGGGGAAGUACUCAAUGCCCACCCUCCCUCUCAUCUCCUGAAUCCUCCCACCCCAUCCUGCUGGGGGAAGUACUCAAUGUCCACCCUCCCUCUCAUCUCCUGAAUCCUCCCACCCCAUCCUGCUGGGGGAAGUACUCAAUGUCCACCCUCCCUCUCAUCUCCUGAAUCCUCCCACCCCAUCCUGCUGGGGGAAGUACUCAAUGCCCACCCUCCCUCUCAUCUCCUGAAUCCUCCCACCCCAUCCUGCUGGGGGAAGUACUCAAUGUCCACCCUCCCUCUCAUCUCCUGAAUCCUCCCACCCCAUCCUGCUGGGGGAAGUACUCAAUGUCCACCCUCCCUCUCAU
RNAcentral lists this long non-coding RNA (1294 nucleotides) under Homo sapiens (human). RNAcentral's name for it is "HSALNT0299630". Lineage: Eukaryota; Metazoa; Chordata; Mammalia; Primates; Hominidae. The record is from RNAcentral.